GAGAGCAUUCUCUGAAGAGCCGCACUCCCGGCCCCUCUGCAAAGGGAGGUGUGUGCACCAGAGGCGGCAGCAGUAAUACACCGAGUGUCACUUUCCAGCAGACUCAAGGCCAUAGCAAGGAACUGGCAAGGAUCAAGUCCAAAAGGCAAGACGACUGGAGCUGGGAGAGCAAAUGCCAGGUGCCGAGCAACCGAUAACAGAAACAAUUCGUCUCAGCGAUGUCCUCGGAAUUAGCCUAGAGAAUAUUGUUUUCCACACUCAAGAUUUGUGGACCAAAGGGCUCUGCAGCGGUGCUGCGGUGGUACCCAUGCCGGAGAGACGGUGCCGACAGCAUCUUCCCUGCAGGAAAGCCUCGUCAGCCGGGUCAGGUUUGGGGGAGGAUGGGAGGCUGAUGGUUUGCUCUUCUCCACAUCUACUGCUGAGGGAAGCCUUGGGCUGGAAAUGCAGGUUGGGAGGUUAACGGUGAACUGUGAAUUAAAACACAGUAAGCCACUUAUUCCUUCCCCAUUCACAUCUUCCUUUCUUAAGUCUGGUGGGGAAAAAAAAGACCCCUUUCCCCUUCCUCCUUGGCAAGACUGCCCCAGGGUUAAUCAGAACCUUAAGCCACUGUCCUCCACCCACGUUGGAAGCAGGGUGACCGUGAUUAGAAGAGCCUGACGUAAGCGCAGCCCGCGAUGAAAGAGUCGCUGACAGACAGCGCAAGCUGACACCGUGAGAACAGCCGGGGCUAUGAGGUCACUGGGUCCAACAGGUAGGCCGUUCUGUUUUCUCAGCCCUGACAUUCAAUGCCCCACCGGUUAUUCAAUAACCAGAAAUGAGGUGGGUCUCACAAAUUCCUGAAUCUCCUUGGGGAUGGAGGGGGAGGAGCCAGGCUUCCUUGAUCUAGGGCCCCAGAGGAGAAGCCAGAGCUGGAAACCUGCCCCCCUAGGAGGAUGGCUGGAUGAAACAAAACGCAGGAAAGAUAUUCAGAAGCAAGUAGCAUCAUUUCUGCGGAGACACGAACGAUUAUCCUGCAUCACACUUAACCCAGACAGUCCUGCCCUGCUCCGAGACGGCAAAGUGAAACUCACCCCUGGACUGAACAAACGUACAAACUCUCAGGCCAAACGGAGCGGCCAGUACUUGAGCAAAUUUGUUUUUGAAAAGGCGGGGGCAGGGGGGUCAUUAUUUGUUUGGGAGGAGGUUGUUUGCUUUGUGAUUUGUUUAUUUUACUACCCAAUAU
Camelus dromedarius (Arabian camel) is the source of this 1222-nucleotide long non-coding RNA. RefSeq lists it as uncharacterized. The record is from RefSeq and is a predicted model, not a curated record. NCBI's taxonomy places the organism in Eukaryota, Metazoa, Chordata, Mammalia, Artiodactyla, Camelidae. The transcript is spliced from 3 exons.